This is a non-coding RNA of Procambarus clarkii (red swamp crayfish), 1412 nucleotides long. NCBI's taxonomy places the organism in Eukaryota, Metazoa, Arthropoda, Malacostraca, Decapoda, Cambaridae. The record is from RefSeq and is a predicted model, not a curated record.
UCAUAGGCUGGCCUUCGGGUGACAUUUUUGGACACUAGUGGUGGACGGUGCCUAGAAGGUCCUACCACGGUGUCGUCUGGCUCUGCUACACAACCACAUGAUCUCCACCUGGUACAGCCAGGCUCUACCACACUACAACUCACCCAGAGUCACAGAAACUACCAGCACAGGUGCACGUGGCAAGCAUAGUGGAGGAGCAACUCUUGGCCUGCGACACCACCACGCUGCAGGUCCAGGCGGCGAGCAGUCUUGGGUAAAGGCAGUAUUGGCCCAGUGAGUGAAGCAGAGGAGUGAUCUUAGUGACGUCUGCGGUAGAACACUUUCAAGAUGAACAUCCGUUGUGCUAAGCCCGAAGACCUCAUGCACAUGCAACACUGCAACCUGCUCUGUUUGCCUGAGAACUACCAGAUGAAGUACUACCUCUAUCAUGGUCUCUCAUGGCCGCAGUUGUCAUAUGUAGCCGAGGAUGAUGAGGGACAGGUUGUUGGCUAUGUACUUGCCAAGAUGGAAGAGGAAAGUGAAGAGGACCCCCACGGGCACAUCACCUCACUAGCUGUCCGCAGGAGUCACAGACGUUUAGGACUAGCACAGAAACUAAUGGAUCAAACAGCUAGAGCAAUGGUCGAGUGCUUUAAUGCUAAAUAUGUCUCUCUUCAUGUUCGAAAAUCAAACCGAGCAGCUUUGAAUCUCUACACUAAUACGCUGAAAUUCACUAUUUCUGAAAUUGAACCCAAGUAUUAUGCUGAUGGUGAAGAUGCUUUUGCAAUGAAGAGAGACCUUUGUUCUUUUGCUCUGCAGAAUGAUGUUACUCCAGCUGAUCCCAACUCCUUUUUUGAUAAUAAGAAAAAUGAAGAAAAAUAGUUUGAUACCAGUUCUGAUGAGUUCUUCCCGAAGAUAAAAUAUCACUUUAAUAUUCAAAUAACUGCUAUACAAGUUAAUUUCUCAAGGUGAUUGGGGUGAGGUUAACCUGCAGCUGUUGCCACCUUGUGUGUGGGGUUUUCCCACAGCUGUUGCCACCUUGUGUGGUGUUAACCCACAGCUGUUGCCACCUUGUGUAGGGUUAACCGUUGACUGGGCUUUCCUUCUGUGUCGGGUUAGUGUACAAUUGUUGCGACCUUGAAGACUUUAAAAGUGGGUGCAAGAUCAACUAAUUUUACAAAACAUUAGGAUUGCAGCAGUUUCAAAUCAGUAUUGUUAAUUAAAAUGGCAUUUGUACAUUUUUCUUAAUGGUACAUGGUUUAAAUGAAAGAUUUGUACAUUACUAAGAGAAUGAUGGCCCUUGUGUUUAGCAGUAAACAAAUAUAUUUACACGUGCAUGUAUGCCACACAUGACAGGAAAUGAUUUAUUUGACAAAUCUAUUUUAUACCUAUUUAGAUAUAGAUAGGUAUUUAAAAAUAAAAUAAUCAUGGCA